GGUUUUAAAAAUUUUUUAAAAAAAGAUAAUAUAUGGGUAAGAAGUCCAAGAUGGAAAAAACCAGUUCCUUUAAUAAUUUGUAAUUCAUGUCAACAAAAAAUGUAUAUGAGUCAAUGGUUAAAUUCAGAGGGUACUAAAGUUAAAAUGAAAUGUGAAUGUGGUUGGAAGACAUUAAUAAAAGAUGGUAAUACAUGGGUCAGAAGUGAAUGGUCUAAAAAAUUGUUAUGUAUUCGUUUAGUUAAAAAUCCAAAUUUAUUAAAUAAAAAAUAUAAUAUAUAUUCAAAAAAAAGAAUGAAAAUGGGACAAAUAAAAGAUGAAAAGGGACUAUAUAAAGAUCGUACUAAUAUUAACAGGUUAAAUCAUAUUAUCUCUAAUUGGUUUAAUAAUGUUACUAAUAAUGAGUAUAAAAAUUCGAUAGAUAAUAAUAUAAGUAAUACAUUAAAUACAGUUACAAAUAGUAAUGAAAAUUGGAACAAUCUUUCUACAAUCAAUAAUUAUAACACAGAUAUCGUUCCAUAUGAUAAUAUUUCAUCAAAUAAUCCAACAAUAUUAAAUAAUAACAACGAACAACCGAAUAGUAAUAAUAAAAAUGAAACAAACUAUAUAUCUAAUGUUUAUAAAUAUAUGCAAAUGAUUCAUUUAUUUAAUUUGAAUAAAGAAACAAAGUCACAAAAUUUAAAAAAAAUGAAUAAAAAAAAAAAUAAAAAUAAAAAUCUUAAAGUUACAAAAGAAAGUACAAAAUGUGGAAAUAAUAAUAGUUACAUUUCCAACGAUACAGAUAGUAAUAAAUUAAACUCGCAUAAUUUUUUAAUGAAUAAACAAAGUAAUAUGGAAAUGUUAUGUGAACAAUCUUAUUCAAAUGGAUAUGAACCAGAACAAUACAAUAAUAAUUAUUACUACAACUACACACCAGAAUAUAAUAAUCACGAUAAUUAUCAGUACACACCUAAAUACAAUAACGAAUGUGAUUAUCAUUAUACAUCCGAGUACGAUAAUCAUUGUGAAUAUCAUUACACAUCAGAGUAUGAUCAUCAAUAUGAUAACCCUAACGAUAACCAAUGCGACAACCGUAAUGAUAACCAAUGCGACAACCGUAACGACAACCGUAACGACAACCAUAACGAUAACCCUAACGAUAACCAGUAUGACAACCAAUAUUAUAACCAAUAUGACAACAAGUAUGACAACCAGUAUGAUAAUCAGUACAAUCAUAAAUAUGACAACCCAUGUGAUAAUCAAUACGAUUAUCAAUAUGAUAACCAAUACGAUAACCAAUACGAUAACCAAUACGAUAANNNNNNNNNNAACCAAUACGAUAACCAAUACGAUAACCAAUACGAUAACCAAUAUGACAACCAGCACAGGCAGAAUGAAUCAGAAAAAGAAAAAAAAAAUAUAACAAGCAUAAACAUAAGUGGCGAUAUGUAUUCAAAUAAUGAACAUUCAGAAGUUUUUAUGAAUAAUAAAAAUUUAUUAAAAAAAAAAUAUAAACCAUAUAUAAACGAAAAUAAAAAAAAAAAAAUAAAUAAAAAAAAAAACACAUUAAGCCAAAAUAUAAAUGAUUCAUCAGAUGUGGAUAUAUCAUCUAAUAAUAUUACUAAUAUUGUUAAUACGAAUGCGAAUGCGAAUACGAAUACGAGCAUGAACACGAAUACAAAUAUAAAUACGAGCACAGAUUUAGAUUCUAUAUUUACGUAUAAUGAAGAAAUAUUAGAUAUACCAAAACGUAAAACUAAAAAAACGAAUAAGUAUAAAUCAUCAAAUGAUAAACAAGAAAAAAAAAAUAGAGGUAAAAUAAUGGAAAAUAUAAAUAAUUAUUAUAAUAAUCUAAAGUUAAUUAAUAAAAAAAUAAUUGAAUAUUGUGCAUCAAAUACAACUUCACCAAAUACAAUUUCAUCAGAAGAGUUUAAUCAUAUAAUGAAUAACAACAACAACAACAACAACAACAACAACAACAACAACAGCAACAACAACAACAACAACAACAACAACAACAACAACAACAACAACANNNNNNNNNNCAACAACAACAACAACAACAACAACAACAACAACAACAACAACAACAACAACAACAACAACAACAAUAAUAAUAAUAAUAAUAAUAAUAAUAAUAAUGAAAAUAAUGAAAAUAAUGAAAAUAAUGAAAAUAAUAAUAAUAACAAUAAUAAUAAUAACAAUAAUAAUAAUAAUAACAAUAAUAAUAAUAACAAUAAUAACAAUAAUAAUAAUAACAAUAAUAAUAAUAACAAUAAUAANNNNNNNNNNUAACAAUAAUAAUAAUAACAAUAAUAAUAAUAACAAUAAUAAUAAUAUUAAUGAAAAUAAUAUUAAUGAAAAUAAUAAUAAUAAUAAUAAUAAUAAUAAUAAACAACUGACCAAUGACUCA
RNAcentral lists this long non-coding RNA (2389 nucleotides) under Piliocolobus tephrosceles (Ugandan red Colobus). RNAcentral describes it as "lncRNA (ENSPTEG00000010493.1)". The record is from RNAcentral. Lineage: Eukaryota; Metazoa; Chordata; Mammalia; Primates; Cercopithecidae.